This 1588-nucleotide long non-coding RNA is filed under the name Homo sapiens (human). RNAcentral's name for it is "LHRI_LNC943.1". The record is from RNAcentral. Lineage: Eukaryota; Metazoa; Chordata; Mammalia; Primates; Hominidae.
UUGUUAUCCAAAUCCUGGUUUUAUCUUAUAACUGGUUUUAGGGGCAAUUGUAGUGAAUUGCCCCUAAAAGAUGUUUGAAAUUCGUUUCAUACACUUUUCCUGAAUCAACUUAAGUAUUGAUUUCACAAACAAUAAGAUGGUGUGCCGUAGCAUGUCAUCGCACUAGAAAGAAAAAAAGUACUCCACCAGUGGGAAAUAAUUUCAGCAGAGGAAAGUGAUGAAUAUUGGAUGUGUGUUUAGAAAUCAGAGGUUGAUAAAGUCUUAAGAUUGCUAUAUGCACUAUGAGGCUAAUGUAUUUUGAAAAUUGCAAAACAAUAUUUUUUAAACAACAAAAAUUUGGUGAGUAGCAUACGCAGACUUCAAAAAUAAAUUGCGUAACUUCAUAUUUCAGUAAUUAAAGAUUUAACAAUAGUGAUUUUGUGGCUAAACAAAAUAUACUGAACCCAUUAUGUAUAAACCAUGGAUUCAGAGCUCCAGAAAAUUAUCUUAAUGAGGCAUAUAAACUCUUUUUGUUUAAUGUCCACACCAAAUCAUUAUGGUCUGCCAUUUCAUGAAAUAACAAGUUUUAAAAUAAGUGAUGUUUUUUAGUUUGUAUAUCUAUAUUCUUUUCUACCAGGUAUAGCACAGUGUAGUACAAGGGCCUACAGUUACAAGCCUUGGGAAAGAUACUGUUUUGGCCACAUAUUUCAGCUAUGUGACCCUGGAAAGAGGGUCUCAGAGGGCCACUGUGGCCCUCAGUGUCUUUUCAUUGGUAAAUUGGGGCAACAUCUUUUGUAUAAUGAAAGCUGAAAAAAAUAACGAUUUUCCUUUUAUUCUCCCUUCCUUUCAUUUAGGCUGUAGUUUUCACUUUUUAACUACAAAGCAAUUUAUCUCUUGAUAACACUUCUAGUGUAUUGUCCCUAAAGUACUUUUGAAAGUAGUUCUGUACACUUUUCCUGAGUAAUAAAAACAUCACAUAUUUGCUAACUUGAAAGAAUCCCGAGUCAGGAGAUGGCCUGGAUUCUCUCUGACCCUUCAACUAAAGUCUUUGACCAAAGGAGCACAGGUGACCCCUUUCUGCUUCAUUUUCUGACCUGUAGAGUAUUGGACUCAAUGACCGAUCCUCCCUUGUAGCUCCAAAAUUCUGGGCUAAACUCCAUGCACCUCCCUUCUGAGUUAAAAAUAGUAGACAGGCCUGCAUUAUCAACAUUUGUAGAAAAAUAUGAAAUGCUUAGAGUCACUUUGUAAUUGAGUCUAAGAUUUGAAUGCAUAGAGUUCAAAUGCAAUACUUGUGUUGAUAACACAACAAAGACAUGUAAGUUUUUAUGUACCUUUAUGUUCUAUGCAUUAGUCCUUCAUUCCUUGGCAUGAGGAGAAGUGAUGGUUUCUCAGUGACCUUCCAGAACUCUAAGGCUGUGUUUCUCACACCAGGCCUCAGGGUUUCUACAUUUUGAACAAAUUUCCAGUAUUGUACCCAUGCACACCUGAGUCUAAGAACUCUGCUGUAAGGUGACAUUAAACAGCACCUGAAGUUAUAUUUGAGAUGAUUACUCAGUAAUCAAUGUACAGUUGAUUUUCAUAGUGUGGAUUCAAGCACGGAAUAGAGCAC